AUCCUAAUGGAGACUAGAGCUUUACCAGUAAAAGGUAAUCAGGGCAAGUCCCAAGAUCUUUAAAGAUCCUGAGCACUUUUAGAAAGAACCAAGUGUUUGAUUCAACGUCUCUGGCAAAAUACCAGACACGUAAAUGCCCUCUGCCCCCCAGCUUAACCAGAGCCAUCGGCAGGAUAAAAGACUUAGCUAUCUCAAAGUGCCACAGUGCAAGGUGUAACAGCUUCCUUCCAACUUGGGAACAAUGUGUUUUGGCUGGAUGAUGUCCUGAAGGAGCUGAAGGUUGCCAAGCCUGGUAUUCCCACCUGGGGAACUAGGUGCCAGUGAGAGUCA
This 330-nucleotide long non-coding RNA is filed under the name Coturnix japonica (Japanese quail). RNAcentral describes it as "lncRNA (ENSCJPG00005006033.1)". Lineage: Eukaryota; Metazoa; Chordata; Aves; Galliformes; Phasianidae. The record is from RNAcentral.